Cercocebus atys (sooty mangabey) is the source of this 1226-nucleotide long non-coding RNA. RefSeq lists it as uncharacterized. The record is from RefSeq and is a predicted model, not a curated record. NCBI's taxonomy places the organism in Eukaryota, Metazoa, Chordata, Mammalia, Primates, Cercopithecidae. The transcript is spliced from 2 exons.
AACAAAAACAAAAAUUGACAGGUGGGACCUAAUUAAACUAAAGAGCUUCUACACAGCAUUCUUAUUUUCCUCUAUGAACCCCAAAUCCAUAUGGAGAAAUCAUCAGUCUCCACAAACACUGUACUCCCCACGGACUGACAACCCUGCUCUCUCUCCCAUUCUUUUCCUCAGUCUUCUCUUUAUAUGAACCAGAGGGUGCAAUAGGGAUGAGGAGGUGGUUGGUUGCUGAAGGCCUACACCGCUACCUCUUCAUAAGCCUUGGGGGCCUAUGAGAUCUGGCCUUACUUCUUGGAUGCUCUCUCUACAACGUGGGGUACUUGGAGCCUCUUUGGUCUCAGCUGUGGUCAGAGGGAAAAAAAUAUUACUCAACAACUUGUUUUCCAAACUUGGGUCAAAAGCAGCCCUCUUGCAAUCUUCUAACUUACUAGGUUCACUUUUUUAAAUCUCUAAUUGUGGGAAAAAAUCCAGGUCCAUUCUCAGAGAACAGUGUGCUUUAUUUACCCACAAAUUCAUUAUUUAUAGAGUCUUGUCAAAGCACAUUGUUUAAAACAUAUUUGCAAAAACUCUAGCCAAUGACCUACUUGUACCUUUUUUGAAAUGACUGAGGGAAUUUACGGUAACUCCAGGCUGGGCUCCAUGUGCCUUGCUCCCGCAGGAUCUGACCUGGGGCGAGUGCGCAAUGCACUGUGGUCUUUGUUUACUCCUGUGCAGGGUUAGACUUAGUACUCUCCAAAUAGUGCCAUACUUCUCUGUAACACAAAGUCCUCAAUCUAUUUACCUUUCUGGUAAAGACGCUUGCAAAAUUCAUUCGUCCAUUUGUUUAUUUAUUUAUUUAACAUGUAUUUAAUGAACUCCUAGUAUUGGCGGGAACUCAUCUAGACCCUGGGAAUACAGUAGAGAAUAAGACAGAGAAGACUAGUGCUCUCAUGGAGCUGAUGUUUCACUGGAAGUGUUAUUAUCAAGCUACCCAUAAAGACCCCAAGCUCAGCUAGACUCAGACACUCUACAGGACGACCAGCUGUGGAGAGAAGCUGCCCACUCCAGGGUCUCCUCUCUGCUAAAAGCUGGGAAGAUGUUGGGACUACCAGUGGUCGGAAGAGGCUACCCAAUUCAGGUUUCUUCAACUUGAUGGGAUGACCUGCCUGCGGAGAGGAGCCACCCACUUCAGGGUCUCCUCUAAGAUAUUCUGUCACUCAGUAAAGCUCUUAUUCACCUUGCUCACUCUC